Armigeres subalbatus is the source of this 3178-nucleotide long non-coding RNA. RefSeq lists it as uncharacterized. Lineage: Eukaryota; Metazoa; Arthropoda; Insecta; Diptera; Culicidae. The transcript is spliced from 3 exons. The record is from RefSeq and is a predicted model, not a curated record.
UCCGUCAACGUCAUUCCGAUUCUUCUCGCUGCCGUCAGCAGCAAAGUUGUGCAGCAAAAAAGAAAAAAAUAAAAGUGCCCGUUUUUCGUACGAACGGAAAAAAAAUCGUCCUAGGAAGCGGACGAAGGGCGCGAGUGCUUAAGAAGGAAUCGGGGAAGGAAUUCCUGACGAUAUAGGAAAAAAUAUUAACAGCAAUUGAAAUUGCUUCCCUCAUUCGCACCGAUUGUGCCAUCCGGACCGUAAUUGUGACAGCACGUGGGGACAUAUUUAAAGUCUAACAGACUGCUCGCUUUGAAUCCCAGAGACGAAUCCGGACGGGCGGGUGGACUAAAGAAUACUAAGGUGAGUUGAACCUUACAUAACGAAGCUCAAACUAGAUCCUUUAUGGUGCUGACUUUCCCUACAGCACGUCGGAACACUCCGGUACCGUAAACCAGAAAGGGCAAGGCAUUAAAUCGAUCAGGGCAGAUCAUAGCUAAUUGAGUACCUAUACAAAGAGCACACCCGAAAUCAAACCAAAGCUCAAGGACACAGCACCGUAAUCCUUCCAUUCGCGGCUCGCACGACAAAAGGCCUCCACAAGGAGGCCUUUUUUCUAUAUUUUGCAGAUCGGUCACGGUGAACGGCCUUAGCCUCCCGAAAGGUAACCGCCGUGGGCGUUUCGAAGACUGUGGGGAUCGAAGUCUGAAGCCGGAAAAACCAUCAUUCAACUGUCGUGCUGGGAAGAGUUCGGCAUUGCGCGAGAAGGUACGGAAGCUUGAACCGGAAAGAGAAGGACACGGACGGAGAGAAGGAGAAGGACACGGACAGCACCCGCUGGUAGGUGCAUGCCAAAGUAGCACGGCCAAUCAGACACAGGAACCAAGGGGUGCGCAAUUGUCCAUUCUAUCCACGACCCAAGGAAGAGCGAUUGGCGUAUCGCUGCCAAUGACAAGACGAAUCUUCACACCACUUCAGAAGCCCAGAGGUUCACCAUUUCCUCGCGAUACGAGAUGCGCUCGACGGAAUCCAGGUGGGAAGAACGAGAGCGGCACUGAGGAUGCGGCAGCCGUGGGUGAUAGUUUUAAGAAAUUGAAACGAAGAUGUAAGAAGACCAAGCAUGCUAAUCGAGUAGGAGAGUAGGAAGUCAGAAGAACGUUGAGAAGUUAUGUAAAUGGGUGAAAUAUAGGAUGAUAUGAUUGCACACUAAAUUAUGUUUUGUGGCGUUUAUUGUUGCUAGCCGGACCGACUAAUCCCCUUUUCGUCACGGAGAGGUCGUUUCACAACACCAGUUGUGCGUGACGUUACUGCACAAUGGAGUAUUGCGAUCCAGAGUUAUUGAAAGCGUUGAUUUUUUCUCCAAUUUUCCCCGAAAAUUGUUUUUUCGCUAAGACUACACUGUAAUGCAUUCAAAUGAACACAAAUAAAUGUGAAUUGAUGGAAAUAACUGAAUCUAUCUCCCUAAAGUGCAAUUUUGACCUCUCUUACGAGCUUUCCUCGUUACAUUUAAUAAUACACGAGAAAGGCACCAUCACCGCUAGGUGGAUUAUUCUGGGGUUUUCAAUGAUUGAUUUAGAAUUAUACAAAUAAAAUCUUUUUUCUUCAUUGCAGAAAUCUUUUUAAAUGUAUAUAAAAAUCUGGGAUAUGGUGCGAAGUAGGGAUCCUACAUUCAGAGAUAUGCGAAAGCAACCAUCUUGAGCAAAUCGAGCAUUGAGAGCUGUCAGAAUCUAAGCCAAAUGAACAUUGUUAUUUUUGCGGAUUGAAAGGUAUUGCGAUUAUAAUGAAAAAGAUUUUACGAAAAGUUUUGUCGAUUAAACAAUUUGUUUUACAAUGGCAAGUUGAAGUAGUCUAGUUUAUGCAUGGUAAUUCGUUCAUUUGUAUUGCACUUUUAUUUUAGUGAUAAUGCACGGUUAGUCGUUAGAUAACGAAAUCUGAAAAUGCCAUUAUGCGCAAAGUCAUGAUCGAGUUCCAACAUUUUGCGCCACGGCAAGUGCUGGCAGCGUUUGUUUACAAAAGUAGCAGCAUUGCUAAAUUGUCUGGAAAAGUAUUCGCACAUCUCUUAAUAUAGGAUCCCUAGUGCGAAGUCACGUUCUGCAGUCUAUUGCUAGUGAGUUACAUAAACUGGAGAGUUUGUGAAGACUAUUAUAGGGUUGAAACACGAACGCCGACGAGAUGACUAGAGAUAAGGACUAGUGGGCAAAUUACUGGUGGACCGAAACUCCUGCCAACCUUUGCGCUGACUGUCUCAGAGCCAGGAGACACUUUAAAUGGUCAGAGAGGAGCGAAAGAUAGUGUUUCGUGAAGCUAGAGCGGCUUUCAAAAAUCAAAAUCAGCAAGUUCAACUGCUUCAAGGAGCUGUGCUGCGAGAAGCUGACGCUGAUCCUUGGGGUAACGCUUAUCGUGACGUAAAGUGGUCUUUUGCUGGCAGGAUGGUUCUACGACCUACAACGUACGAAGAUGAAGACCGAGUAACCGCUGCAGGUAUGCAUGUCUCUAAUGACGGGCUGACAUCUGUGGCGAAAAGUUUGAAGAUGAAGAAAGCUCCGGGUCCGGAUAGAAUUUCAAAUGUAGCUGCAAAAACCGCGAUUAUGACUAGUUUAGAACUUGGCCGCUAGGUGGUGGCAUAUAUGAAAUCAUUAUUUUAGACUAACUCAAGAUAUUCCGAUAUGAGGAAUUUUCUACAUUGUAAAUUAUUUAUUCCUAUCGAAAAAAAUUCUAAUAUGUAAAAAUUAUGUUUUUAGCAAAGUUCAUCUGGAAGAAGAGGAGCGGCAAUCGGUUCUUAGCGAUAGUAACGAUUUACGUCAAAAACGCGUUUAAUAGUGUCAGCUGGAAGGCCAUCACCGCAGGGCUGCACGGAAUGCGGAUCCCCAACUUCCUGUGUAAGAUCCUUAGGAGCUACUUCCAGAACCGGAUUCUGGUUCACGAUAGAAAUUCACAAAAAAAUAGUUAUCGAUUUGCUCUCAAGCUUUGCUUGAGAUUCAAGUCAGGAAAUUCGGUGCAGUUUGUUUGGAUUUUUUUUAAAGAUUUUUCCAACAUUUUAUUUUUGGACUAAACGAAUGUCCAAAUGAGAAAAUAUAGCCCAAUUCUUUAUAUUUUUUGGGAAUAUUCUUCGAAACUCCCUCGGAAAUUGAUUCUUUGUAAUUUAAUCAACAAAUUCUUCGGAGUUUUCUCGGAAUUUUUUUCAGGAUGCAGUCGAAUU